UGGGGAAUUUUGGACAAUGGGCGAAAGCCUGAUCCAGCAAUGCCGCGUGUGUGAAGAAGGCCUUCGGGUUGUAAAGCACUUUUGUCCGGAAAGAAAUCCUUGGCUCUAAUACAGUCGGGGGAUGACGGUACCGGAAGAAUAAGCACCGGCUAACUACGUGCCAGCAGCCGCGGUAAUACGUAGGGUGCAAGCGUUAAUCGGAAUUACUGGGCGUAAAGCGUGCGCAGGCGGUUUGCUAAGACCGAUGUGAAAUCCCCGGGCUCAACCUGGGAACUGCAUUGGUGACUGGCAGGCUAGAGUAUGGCAGAGGGGGGUAGAAUUCCACGUGUAGCAGUGAAAUGCGUAGAGAUGUGGAGGAAUACCGAUGGCGAAGGCAGCCCCCUGGGCCAAUACUGACGCUCAUGCACGAAAGCGUGGGGGACGCAAACAGGAUUAGAUACCCUGGUAGUCCACGCCCUAAACGAUGUCAACUAGUUGUUGGGGAUUCAUUUCCUAGUAACGUAGCUACGCGUGAAGUUGACCGCCUGGGGAGUACGGUCG
RNAcentral lists this ribosomal RNA (540 nucleotides) under uncultured bacterium. Its description in RNAcentral is "partial 16S ribosomal RNA". It matches the Rfam family "Bacterial small subunit ribosomal RNA", at positions 355 to 888 of the family's 1533-position model. The record is from RNAcentral.